RNAcentral lists this ribosomal RNA (253 nucleotides) under uncultured bacterium. RNAcentral describes it as "partial 16S ribosomal RNA". It matches the Rfam family "Bacterial small subunit ribosomal RNA", at positions 524 to 776 of the family's 1533-position model. The record is from RNAcentral.
UACGUAGGGUGCAAACGUUGUUCGGAAUUACUGGGCGUAAAGCGUGUGUAGGCGGCUACGCAAGUCGGAUGUGAAAGCCCUGGGCUCAACUCAGGAAGUGCACCCGAUACUGCGAAGCUAGAGUACCGGAGAGGUUGGUAGAAUUCUCGGUGUAGAGGUGAAAUUCGUAGAUAUCGAGAGGAAUACCUGUGGCGAAGGCGGCCAACUGGACGAGUACUGACGCUGAGACACGAAAGCGUGGGGAGCAAACAGG